RNAcentral lists this unclassified non-coding RNA (166 nucleotides) under soil metagenome. RNAcentral's name for it is "partial contains 5.8S ribosomal RNA, internal transcribed spacer 2, and large subunit ribosomal RNA". The record is from RNAcentral.
AACGCACGAGACCUGCGGACCUGCGGAGGGAUCAUUAGUGAACGCCCUCACGGGCUUAUAACUAUUCCAAACCUCUGUGAACCGUGCCCUUCGGGGCUAUUUUACAAACAUGGUGUAAUGAACGUCAUAUAUCAUAACAAAGCAAAACUUUUAGCAACGGAUCUCU